AUUGAACGCUGGCGGCAGGCCUAACACAUGCAAGUCGAACGGUAACAGGAAGAAGCUUGCUUCUUUGCUGACGAGUGGCGGACGGGUGAGAAAUGUCUGGGAAACUGCUUGAUGGAGGGGGAUAACUACUGGAAACGGUAGUUAAUACCGCAUAACGUCGCAAGACCAAAGAGGGGGAGUUUCGGGCGUCUUGCCAUCGGAUGUGCCCAGAUGGGAUUAGCUAGUAGGUGGGGUAACGGCUCACCUAGGCGACGAUCCCUAGCUGGUCUGAGAGGAUGACCGGCCACACUGGAACUGAGACACGGUCCAGACUCCUACGGGAGGCAGCAGUGGGGAAUAUUGCGCAAUGGGCGCAAGCCUGAUGCAGCCAUGCCGCGUGUGUGAAGAAGGCCUUCGGGUUGUAAAGUACUUUCAGCGGGGAGGAAGGGAGUAAAGUUAAUACCUUUGCUCAUUGACGUUACCCGAAGAAGAAGCACCGGCUAACUCCGUG
Molecule: ribosomal RNA, 490 nt
Filed under: uncultured bacterium
Lineage: Bacteria
Description: partial 16S ribosomal RNA
Rfam family: Bacterial small subunit ribosomal RNA
Source: RNAcentral